This 253-nucleotide ribosomal RNA is filed under the name uncultured bacterium. RNAcentral's name for it is "partial 16S ribosomal RNA". It matches the Rfam family "Bacterial small subunit ribosomal RNA", at positions 524 to 776 of the family's 1533-position model. The record is from RNAcentral.
UACGGAGGGUGCGAGCGUUGUCCGGAAUCAUUGGGCGUAAAGGGCGCGUAGGUGGCUUCUUAAGCGUGCGGUGAAAGCCUGGGGCUCAACCCCGGGUCGGCCGUGCGAACUGGGGGGCUGGAGCACUGUAGAGGCAGGCGGAAUCCGGGUGGAGCGGUGAAAUGCGUAGAGAUCCGGAGGAACACCAACGGCGUAGGGCAGCGCCCUAGACGAGACCUGACGCUCAGGCACGAAAGCGCGGGGAGCGAACAGG